RNAcentral lists this ribosomal RNA (627 nucleotides) under Leifsonia sp. Ri3Pt_4314. Its description in RNAcentral is "bacterial SSU rRNA". It matches the Rfam family "Bacterial small subunit ribosomal RNA", at positions 387 to 1027 of the family's 1533-position model. The record is from RNAcentral. Lineage: Bacteria; Bacillati; Actinomycetota; Actinomycetes; Micrococcales; Microbacteriaceae.
UGCAGCACGCCGCGUGAGGGACGACGGCCUUUCGGGUUGUAAACCUCUUUUAGUAGGGAAGAAGCGAAAGUGACGGUACCUGCAGAAAAAGCACCGGCUAACUACGUGCCAGCAGCCGCGGUAAUACGUAGGGUGCAAGCGUUGUCCGGAAUUAUUGGGCGUAAAGAGCUCGUAGGCGGUUUGUCGCGUCUGCUGUGAAAACCCGAGGCUCAACCUCGGGCCUGCAGUGGGUACGGGCAGACUAGAGUGCGGUAGGGGAGAAUGGAAUUCCUGGUGUAGCGGUGGAAUGCGCAGAUAUCAGGAGGAACACCGAUGGCGAAGGCAGUUCUCUGGGCCGUAACUGACGCUGAGGAGCGAAAGCGUGGGGAGCGAACAGGAUUAGAUACCCUGGUAGUCCACGCCGUAAACGUUGGGCGCUAGAUGUGGGGACCAUUCCACGGUUUCCGUGUCGCAGCUAACGCAUUAAGCGCCCCGCCUGGGGAGUACGGCCGCAAGGCUAAAACUCAAAGGAAUUGACGGGGGCCCGCACAAGCGGCGGAGCAUGCGGAUUAAUUCGAUGCAACGCGAAGAACCUUACCAAGGCUUGACAUAUACGAGAACGCUCUAGAAAUAGAGAACUCUUUGGAC